RNAcentral lists this long non-coding RNA (1031 nucleotides) under Urocitellus parryii (Arctic ground squirrel). Its description in RNAcentral is "lncRNA (ENSUPAG00010011024.1)". The record is from RNAcentral. Lineage: Eukaryota; Metazoa; Chordata; Mammalia; Rodentia; Sciuridae.
GCAAAGAAUUGUCGGUGAAGUAGAUCUGCCUUUGUCGAUGGUCGGAUUAAUGCUUCAGGAGGACGUUGGCAGGCUGGCGUCUCCUCCAUGAUGAACCGCCACCAGAAGGUCUCACGCUGAGAAGGGGACCCCUCGCACGUGAUGGCACUUGGAACCCACUUUCUGGGCAACUCAGUGGGAGGAGCUCCGUAUUUUAACAAGUUAUUUGUGUCUAGUUUCUGGCAUGAAGCUGGGGGCUUCCUCCUCAAGGUGCCGGGCUGGGCUCUAGGCUGGUGUCCUUCCAGAACAGAGGAGAGGGAGACAUGUUUCAUACAGGCCAGGCUCACAGGACAAACAGGACCCGCCGGGAGGCUUGGAACCACACAGGCACCCUGUGAACAAGAGCAGAUUCAAGCUUGCCCGCCUGACUCGGGGCUUUGCAAUCGAUUCAACAGCAGAGUUAAAUCUGAACCCCACAUCUUGCCUUGCUUUGAAGUGAGGAAUGCACUCAUGGGUUUCCUUCCCCUGAUUGCACCCUCAGACAAAGCGAGCCCAGAGCAGUUAGGUACCCCCACUUGGAGCCCGAGCCCCAGGAGCUGAUGACAGUGCUUGAGGAUUUUCCCAACGAUGUUUUUCACUCACUCUCCACUUUCUAGAGGGAACUGGCAGGUUCAGUAUUCAAGUCCCCGAUUUUCUCCAGACCUUGGACCCCAUUGUAUCCCACUGUCUGUGGGAGAGUCCCUCCUGGAGAAGUCACAAACCCUCAAACUCCAUUCCCUGUGUUCAACCCCAAAUCUUCCUCCCUCCUGAGUGAAGCCAGGAGGGACCCCAUGUUGCCUGCCAUUGCCCUCUGAUACGUCACCAAAUCAGGCUGCCGUUCUGGCCACCUCCUGAAUCUGUCUCAGCCUCUUCACAUCAAGUGAUGGUCACACCAAAGCCUGGGGCACCGGAGGGCAGGCUCUUACCCUCAGAGGGCCACUGCUCCCCUCAUUGCUUAACUGGAYUGUUCUGUAAAAUGGUGCCUAAAUAAUAAAUAAAAGGUUUGAAGAACA